GACGAACGCUGGCGACGUGCUUAACACAUGCAAGUCGAACGGUAAGGCCCUUCGGGGUACACGAGUGGCGAACGGGUGAGUAACACGUGGGUGAUCUGCCCUGCACUUCGGGAUAAGCCUGGGAAACUGGGUCUAAUACCGGAUAGGACUCCUGGCUUCAUGGUUGGGGGUGGAAAGCUUUUGCGGUGUGGGAUGGGCCCGCGGCCUAUCAGCUUGUUGGUGGGGUAAUGGCCUACCAAGGCGACGACGGGUAGCCGGCCUGAGAGGGUGACCGGUCACACUGGGACUGAGAUACGGCCCAGACUCCUACGGGAGGCAGCAGUGGGGAAUAUUGCACAAUGGGCGCAAGCCUGAAGCAGCGACGCCGCGUGAGGGAUGACGGCCUUCGGGUUGUAAACCUCUUUCAGCUAUGACGAAGCGCAAGUGACGGUAGUAGCAGAAGAAGGACCGGCCAACUACGUGCCAGCCGCCGCAGUAA
This 478-nucleotide ribosomal RNA is filed under the name uncultured bacterium. Its description in RNAcentral is "partial 16S ribosomal RNA". It matches the Rfam family "Bacterial small subunit ribosomal RNA", at positions 28 to 523 of the family's 1533-position model. The record is from RNAcentral.